AGAGUUGAUCAUGGCUCAGGAUGAACGCUGGCGGCGUGCCUAACACAUGCAAGUCGAGCGAGUUACUUCGGUAAAGAGCGGCGGACGGGUGAGUAACGCGUGGGUAACCUGCCUCAUACACAUGGAUAACAUACCGAAAGGUAUGCUAAUACAGGAUAAUAUAAGAGAUUCACAUGGAUUUCUUAUCAAAGCUCCGGCGGUAUGAGAUGGACCCGCGUCUGAUUAGCUAGUUGGUAAGGUAAUGGCUUACCAAGGCGACGAUCAGUAGCCGACCUGAGAGGGUGAUCGGCCACAUUGGAACUGAGACACGGUCCAAACUCCUACGGGAGGCAGCAGUGGGGAAUAUUGCACAAUGGGCGAAAGCCUGAUGCAGCAACGCCGCGUGAGUGAUGAAGGCCUUCGGGUCGUAAAACUCUGUCCUCAAGGAAGAUAAUGACGGUACUUGAGGAGGAAGCCCCGGCUAACUACGUGCCAGCCGCAGC
This 482-nucleotide ribosomal RNA is filed under the name uncultured bacterium. RNAcentral's name for it is "bacterial SSU rRNA". It matches the Rfam family "Bacterial small subunit ribosomal RNA", at positions 8 to 518 of the family's 1533-position model. The record is from RNAcentral.